GCGUCGAGCGGCGGACGGGUGAGUAAUGCCUAGGAAAUUGCCCUGAUGUGGGGGAUAACCAUUGGAAACGAUGGCUAAUACCGCAUAACGCCUACGGGCCAAAGAGGGGGACCUUCGGGCCUCUCGCGUCAGGAUAUGCCUAGGUGGGAUUAGCUAGUUGGUGAGGUAAGGGCUCACCAAGGCGACGAUCCCUAGCUGGUCUGAGAGGAUGAUCAGCCACACUGGAACUGAGACACGGUCCAGACUCCUACGGGAGGCAGCAGUGGGGAAUAUUGCACAAUGGGCGCAAGCCUGAUGCAGCCAUGCCGCGUGUGUGAAGAAGGCCUUCGGGUUGUAAAGCACUUUCAGUCGUGAGGAAGGCAGUGUAGUUAAUAGCGGCAUUGUUUGACGUUAGCGACAGAAGAAGCACCGGCUAACUCCGUGCCAGCAGCCGCGGUAAUACGGAGGGUGCGAGCGUUAAUCGGAAUUACUGGGCGUAAAGCGCAUGCAGGUGGUUUGUUAAGUCAGAUGUGAAAGCCCGGGGCUCAACCUCGGAAUAGCAUUUGAAACUGGCAGACUAGAGUACUGUAGAGGGGGGUAGAAUUUCAGGUGUAGCGGUGAAAUGCGUAGAGAUCUGAAGGAAUACCGGUGGCGAAGGCGGCCCCCUGGACAGAUACUGACACUCAGAUGCGAAAGCGUGGGGAGCAAACAGGAUUAGAUACCCUGGUAGUCCACGCCGUAAACGAUGUCUACUUGGAGGUUGUGGCCUUGAGCCGUGGCUUUCGGAGCUAACGCGUUAAGUAGACCGCCUGGGGAGUACGGUCGCAAGAUUAAAACUCAAAUGAAUUGACGGGGGCCCGCACAAGCGGUGGAGCAUGUGGUUUAAUUCGAUGCAACGCGAAGAACCUUACCUACUCUUGACAUCCAGAGAACUUUUCAGAGAUGGAUUGGUGCCUUCGGGAACUCUGAGACAGGUGCUGCAUGGCUGUCGUCAGCUCGUGUUGUGAAAUGUUGGGUUAAGUCCCGCAACGAGCGCAACCCUUAUCCUUGUUUGCCAGCGAGUAAUGUCGGGAACUCCAGGGAGACUGCCGGUGAUAAACCGGAGGAAGGUGGGGACGACGUCAAGUCAUCAUGGCCCUUACGAGUAGGGCUACACACGUGCUACAAUGGCGCAUACAGAGGGCAGCCAACUUGCGAAAGUGAGCGAAUCCCAAAAAGUGCGUCGUAGUCCGGAUUGGAGUCUGCAACUCGACUCCAUGAAGUCGGAAUCGCUAGUAAUCGUGGAUCAGAAUGCCACGGUGAAUACGUUCCCGGGCCUUGGGCCUU
RNAcentral lists this ribosomal RNA (1305 nucleotides) under Vibrio azureus. Its description in RNAcentral is "bacterial SSU rRNA". It matches the Rfam family "Bacterial small subunit ribosomal RNA", at positions 88 to 1389 of the family's 1533-position model. Lineage: Bacteria; Pseudomonadati; Pseudomonadota; Gammaproteobacteria; Vibrionales; Vibrionaceae. The record is from RNAcentral.